GACGAACGCUGGCGGCGUGCUUAACACAUGCAAGUCGAACGGAAAGGCUCUGCUUUUGUGGGGUGCUCGAGUGGCGAACGGGUGAGUAACACGUGAGUAACCUGCCCUUGACUUUGGGAUAACUUCAGGAAGCUGGGGCUAAUACCGGAUAGGAGCUCCUGCUGCAUGGUGGGGGUUGGAAAGUUUCGGCGGUUGGGGAUGGACUCGCGGCUUAUCAGCUUGUUGGUGGGGUAGUGGCUUACCAAGGCUUUGACGGGUAGCCGGCCUGAGAGGGUGACCGGCCACAUUGGGACUGAGAUACGGCCCAGACUCCUACGGGAGGCAGCAGUGGGGAAUAUUGCACAAUGGGCGGAAGCCUGAUGCAGCAACGCCGCGUGCGGGAUGACGGCCUUCGGGUUGUAAACCGCUUUCGCCUGUGACGAAGCGUGAGUGACGGUAAUGGGUAAAGAAGCACCGGCUAACUACGUG
RNAcentral lists this ribosomal RNA (468 nucleotides) under uncultured bacterium. Its description in RNAcentral is "partial 16S ribosomal RNA". It matches the Rfam family "Bacterial small subunit ribosomal RNA", at positions 28 to 507 of the family's 1533-position model. The record is from RNAcentral.